CCUAGAAGAUAACCUAAAAGCAAGCCAUCGCACCCAGCAAGCCGUCGCACUAAGUUCAUCACUGCCCAUCGCCAAGGCCGUUGCACCACACAGCUCGCCGUCAUGUUCAUCUAACCCUCACACCCAGCCCUUCAUCUAACCCUCACACCCAUCCCUCUCUCUGUUGCACCCAACCCCGCGCCAUCAACGAUCUCUCGCACCCAACCCUCGCACCAUCGACACAACCCUCGUUAGAUUCGGAACCCUCUAUCGGCGCUGCUCCGUCCACGCACUUAGUGGUCUCUGUCUCGGCGUGCCCUCCUACUCCCUCAGUGGUCUCUGUCUCGCAAACCCUCGUUGGAUUCGGAACCUCAAUCGUUGCUCACUCUAUUUCGCAAACCCUCAAUCGCCGAUCCUCCCUCCGUGGUUCAGCACCCGUCGCGUUGCCGUCUCCCUCUCUGAAAUCGUCGCGUCGCCGUCUCCCUCUCCCUCACUCGUCGCACCUUCGUCAGCCAUGUUCAACGUUCGCAGUGCCGUGCUGUGGUAGUGCUCAGCUACUGAUAUGUGGUGCUCAUUCUUUGAGUUUAUUCUUUGCUGAAUCUUGUUUGGCAGAGAAUACCUCUAGAUUUUUUGCAAGGUGACAAAUUUAGAGCAGCAAUAGAUAAUUACAUUUGGCCUCUCCUAACUAAGGGAGUUCCAUCUCUUUUCUCUGAUCUUUCGUCUUUGUAUAAUCAGCCUGGAAGGCAGACAUUUUGGAACAACUUAUUCUUGUAUUUUUUUUCACAGCGCUCUUCAAGCUAAGAGGUAAUUUGUAAAGGAGGAAUUCAAGAAAUUAUUGUAGCAUUUAUACUGAGUAUCGCAUCUAUUAAAAUAAAUAAAUAUGUCAAAGGGAUUUGAGAUUCAUCAAGAGAAUAAUGAGGAAAUGGCGGCAAGAGUAGUAAUGAUAAUGAGGGUGAGGAAAAUUCAUUUGACAUAAAUGAAGGAGCGGCUAUGAGUGAUGAUGAGGAAUUAGAAGAAGAGAAUAAUAAUGAAGCAAAGGAGGAGGAGGAGGAUAACAAUGAAGAAGGGAAUUUAACAAACCUAAGUAGCAGCAGCACAGCAUCAAGAGAAGGGAAGAGAGGGAGUGGUGUGAGGCAAUAUGUGAGAUCAAAGAUGCCAAGGCUUUGUUGGACUCCUAAUCUUCAUCUCUCCUUUGUCCAUGUUGUUCAGAUGCUUGGAGGUCAAGUUCCUUAUCUAGGCAACUUUCUGUGCAAAGCAGUUUUGCUGAAGCUGCUGCAAUGACAGUAAGUUUUGGACAUUCAUGGACCAGUUCUAGCUUUAGUUCUUGAGAAGUUGAAACCAUAUGGAGGCCUUCAAGGUAGGGUUUUGUAUCAUAGCUCAUUCUUAAUCCACUUUGUUGCUCAGGGUUAAUGAUUAACAUGAGUAUUCUUAUGUUUAUUUUCUUUCCGAUGCAAUAUUUGUGCUUAGAAUCAUUCGAAUCUGCUAAGGCAAUUUCAGUGGGUGCAUCAAAAGGUGUUCAAAGGCUAGGAAAUCAACUGUUAAUGGUGUUACAAAACACGAAAAUAAAGCUGCAUCUUCGGUAUAUUUGAGUUUGUGUUGGUUGAUUGCUUUUAAGAUAAUAGAACUGAAAACAUAUUGUCACAAAACACUGUAGGAGUAGUGAGACAGGGUUGCUUGAGCUCAAUUAACAAGUUUUGAAUUUGGAUUAGUUCUGCAAACACCACUGCCAAUGCUUUAAACUCUGAAAACAACAUAAAUAAAUAUAUAAAUAAUUGAAGUAGUUGUAAAAUGUGUGAAGAGGAAAGGAUUUGAUUUUGUGCUCCUAAAUCCAAAAGAUUGUAAGGUGGCAGUAAUGGUUAGAUACCAAGCUCUAAGAGCUUAUUUCAAACCAUAUAUUGCCUUGUUUAGUUUGCAAACAAGGUUUGAAUUUAAGUAAACAAAACUAGGGAGUUGAGACAUGUAAAUAGUCUUUGUUAGAUUUCCAUUUAGAAAAGCAUCAUGAAAAUUAUACUGCUUCACUGCUCAACCUUUUGAUAAAGCUAUGAUUAAGAUUAUUCUAAUAGUUACAGGUUUGAUAAUAGGUGAGAAAACCUUAUCAAAAUCCACACCUGCUGUUUGUGUAUAUCUACAAGCAACUAACAUUGCUUUAUGCCUAAGAAUGUUUGAGUUUGUGUUGGUUGAUUGCUUUUAAGAUUUGUUUGGCUUCCUAACUACUUGAUUCAUCAUCUUGAUUGUGGGCUGUUGCAACAAAGGGUGCUAGGUCUGAGCCUAUCUCUGUCCAAGAUAUAGCGCUUCAGUCUCAAGCUUUAUUAAAUGUUAAGGAUUCAAACAAGGAAUUGCUAAGCUCUGUAUACCAUAAUCUACUUUAAAAUUCUGUGUGUUUCCUAACUGGAUGCAGAGUUCAAACUUUUUUUUUGGCUAAGCUCUAUAUACAUUUGAUGUUUGCUAAGCUCUAUAUACAUUUGAUGUUGCUAUUUAUAUAUGUAUCAUUUUUUACAACCUUUAAUCCCAUUAGCUAUUAUUAGUUUAUUACUUUAAAGAUUUGUAGGUUGCGUGAAGGUGUGGGUAUAGCACCAUGCAAUGCUGCUGAAUAUCGUGCAAUGAUAUUAGGAAUGAGAUAUGCUCUUAAAAAGGGAUUUUCUUUUAUCCGUAUCCAGGGCGACUCCAAGCUUGUUUGCAUGCAGUUCUCAUGCAUACAGGUUACUGUUGCCCAACAGCUUCUACACCUCUAAUAGCUAUACAAGAGUUGCGUGCAACCAUUCGUGUGCUACAAAUUAGUCUAGAUGUUGUUUAGGAAUUAGAUUAGAUUUUUUAUAACAUAGAAUUGUAAUUUUUUUAAAUGUUUAUUUUGAAAUUAGAAUUUAUUUUUUUUAAAUGUUUUAUUCAUGUUUUAUCAUGUACAUAAUUCAUAUAAAUCAAUG
Long non-coding RNA from Arachis stenosperma, 2900 nucleotides. RefSeq lists it as uncharacterized. Lineage: Eukaryota; Viridiplantae; Streptophyta; Magnoliopsida; Fabales; Fabaceae. The transcript is spliced from 7 exons. The record is from RefSeq and is a predicted model, not a curated record.